AUGGAGAGGCAGAUGAGCAAGAUAUACACCAACAAGAUUUUUAACAAAUUCCAGGAAGAAAUAAAGUGUGCCAGCAUGUACACGGCUUUCCAGGUGGACGAACAUACGGUCAAGGUGUGUUCUAUCCUAGGCAUGUCGGAUUCAGAACCUGAAGACCUGGACAAGGGAAGGAACUACUUUGUGAAGGCAUCGAUAAGCGAAGGCGAAUACUACUGCCAAUGCUGCAAAUUCGAACGGGACGGGAUUGUGUGCUGUCACAUUCUAAAAGUAAUGGACGUGAACGCGGUGACACGAAUUCCCCGCCAUUUCAUAAGUCGGCGAUGGAAUUGGGACGCUGACGACGCAUUGGCGCCGCAAACAUCAAACGCAGUUUUGGCCGUGCAUGACGAGAGACCAGAGUCAACCAUGGAAGCCGUGAGGCACGUUGUGUUGACAAAGAACUAUGCUGACCUAAUUGAUGAAGCGUGCAAGAGUGAUGAGACAGCAAGGGUCGCAGAAAAACACAGGACGGCCCUCAAAAGAGAGCUUGAUGAGAUCAAGAAGAGGAAAGCUGAGGAAGCCUUACACAGGUUCCCCCGCACAUCAAGCGUGCCUUCGUCCACAGGGCCAUCAUCUGAAAACUCGGAGGUAGGAUCUGGAACAGCAAGCACACAAACACAGGUUAGGAACCCGCCCCGUUCCAUCACAAAAGGGCGUCCAAAAGAGAUAAGAUACAAAUCGGGAUUGGAGAUUCAAGCAAAACACAAGAAACCAAAGAAAGGGACGGGCAAUCCGUAA
RNAcentral lists this ribosomal RNA (777 nucleotides) under Triticum aestivum (bread wheat). Its description in RNAcentral is "partial small subunit ribosomal RNA". Lineage: Eukaryota; Viridiplantae; Streptophyta; Magnoliopsida; Poales; Poaceae. The record is from RNAcentral.